RNAcentral lists this ribosomal RNA (474 nucleotides) under uncultured Bacteroidota bacterium. RNAcentral describes it as "bacterial SSU rRNA". It matches the Rfam family "Bacterial small subunit ribosomal RNA", at positions 56 to 524 of the family's 1533-position model. Lineage: Bacteria; Pseudomonadati; Bacteroidota. The record is from RNAcentral.
UGCAGUCGAGGGGUAUGAUUUUGAGUUUACUUGAAAUCAGAGACCGGCGCACGGGUGCGUAACACGUAUGCAACCUACCCUUUACAGGGGGAUAGCUCAGAGAAAUCUGAAUUAAUACCCCAUAGUUACAUUUCGCUGCAUGGUGAGAUGUAUAAAGCUCCGGCGGUAAAGGAUGGGCAUGCGUUACAUUAGCUAGUUGGUGAGGUAAUGGCUCACCAAGGCUACGAUGUAUAGGGGUUCUGAGAGGAUGAUCCCCCACACUGGUACUGAGACACGGACCAGACUCCUACGGGAGGCAGCAGUAGGGAAUAUUGGACAAUGGACGCAAGUCUGAUCCAGCCAUGCCGCGUGCAGGAUGACAGCCCUCUGGGUUGUAAACUGCUUUUAUAUGAGAAGAAACCCUCAGAUGCGUUUGAGGCUGACGGUAUCAUAUGAAUAAGGAUCGGCUAACUUCGUGCCAGCAGCCGCGGUAAG